AUCACUAACGAUGCCACCAGCGAUCAGCCUGAGUUCUUUAAAUGACUCGGCUGGCAGCUUCCGGGAAACCAAAGUUUUUCGGUUCCGGGGGAAGUAUGGUUGCAAAGCUGAAACUUAAAGGAAUUGACGGAAGGGCACCACCAGGAGUGGAGCCUGCGGCUUAAUUUGACUCAACACGGGAAAACUUACCCGGCCCGGACACUGGAAGGAUUGACAGAUUGAGAGCUCUUUCUUGAUUCAGUGGGUGGUGGUGCAUGGCCGUUCUUAGUUGGUGGAGCGAUUUGUCUGGUUAAUUCCGAUAACGAACGAGACUCUAGCCUACUAAAUAGACUACCGGUUCCUAGUGCGCCGGUAGGACUUCUUAGAGGGACAGGCGGCGACUCAGCCGCACGAAACAGAGCAAUAACAGGUCUGUGAUGCCCUUAGAUGUCCGGGGCCGCACGCGCGCUACACUGAAGUGAUCAGCGUGCAUCAGUAACCCUCUCUGUCAAGAGUGGGUAACCCAAUGAACCUUCUUCGUGAUUGGGAUAGGGCAUUGUAAUUAUUGCCCUUGAACGAGGAAUUCCCAGUAAGCGCGAGUCAUAAGCUUGCGUUGAUUACGUCCCUGCCCUUUGUACACACCGCCCGUCGCUACUACCGAUUGAAUGAUUUAGUGAGGUCUUCGGACUGGCUGGUGCAGCUACCUUCGGGUGGCAGCGCUGUGCUGGAAAGAUGCCCAAACUUGAUCAUUUAGAGGAAGUAAAAGUCGUAACAAGGUUUCCGUAGUGACCUGCGGAG
This 777-nucleotide ribosomal RNA is filed under the name uncultured eukaryote. Its description in RNAcentral is "SSU rRNA". It matches the Rfam family "Eukaryotic small subunit ribosomal RNA", at positions 1029 to 1822 of the family's 1831-position model. The record is from RNAcentral.